RNAcentral lists this transfer RNA (69 nucleotides) under Dipodomys ordii (Ord's kangaroo rat). It matches the Rfam family "tRNA". From Rfam's summary of the family: Transfer RNA (tRNA) molecules are approximately 80 nucleotides in length. Their secondary structure includes four short double-helical elements and three loops (D, anti-codon, and T loops). The record is from Rfam by way of RNAcentral. Lineage: Eukaryota; Metazoa; Chordata; Mammalia; Rodentia; Heteromyidae.
GGGAAUGUGGCUUAGUGGUAAAGUGCUUGCCUUGCAUGCAUAAAGCCUGGGUUCAAUCCCUUAGUACCA